Nicotiana attenuata is the source of this 649-nucleotide long non-coding RNA. RefSeq lists it as uncharacterized. NCBI's taxonomy places the organism in Eukaryota, Viridiplantae, Streptophyta, Magnoliopsida, Solanales, Solanaceae. The record is from RefSeq and is a predicted model, not a curated record. The transcript is spliced from 3 exons.
AGGCCAAUUGGCCCAAACCAAAAUUCACAAACCUAAUAACAUUCUCACUUUAUAUGGUUCCCUACCCUGCCGCCAACCCCAUCCCUCCUUUUCCAUUUCCUUCUUCAACAAUGCCUCUCUUCACAUGAAGAGAGCAAAUCAGCGGAAUCACUGGCUAGAUAGCCCGAUGGCUUCUUUUUUUUUUCAGGUAUUGAGUGGGACUUUGAAGAUUAAAAUGCAAUAUUGGGAGGAGCCACAGUUCGUCGAAAAGACAUUACAAAAAUGAGGGUGCAUUUCAAUCUAUUCAAUGCAAGAAGAUUAAGGAUUCAACCUUGAUGCAAAGAGUGAAAGUACUUCAUCCUUGAUUGCAGAAGAUCAUCUGGUGGCGACAUCUGAAAUUUCCGGAUCAAAUACUUGGAACUUAGUUUUCUUUUGAUGUGGAACCCUUCAGAAUUUUAUAGAUUAUAGAUAAUGGUGCAUAAUUUGUAUUAUACUCCUAUUAGUUUGACAAGAAUGUAAGUUUAAGUUUUUUCUAUUAUCUAGCUGCAUAUUAACUAGUUGUUAUGUCUCUUGUACAAGAGUUACAUACUUGUGGAAGUAUGGAUACUAUGUACUGUAUAUAGACAAUUGUAUAUUUUAGAAUUAAUUUAUUAAACUAUUUAGAUUUCAA